Mycena polygramma is the source of this 93-nucleotide non-coding RNA. The record is from the annotation of a GenBank genome assembly. NCBI's taxonomy places the organism in Eukaryota, Fungi, Basidiomycota, Agaricomycetes, Agaricales, Mycenaceae.
ACUUCCGUGGGUCUGUGGUUGAGCACCUCGACGAUCUACAAGGUAGUGCACAGAUUUAUAGAGACGGCGUGGGUUCGAAUCCCACCGGAAGCA